Molecule: long non-coding RNA, 447 nt
Organism: Oncorhynchus keta (chum salmon)
Lineage: Eukaryota; Metazoa; Chordata; Actinopteri; Salmoniformes; Salmonidae
Exons: 3
Source: RefSeq, a predicted model, not a curated record
GGUUCGUCCUGGCAUUGUUCAGCAGAAUAGACAAUGGAAAGAGGUUCGUCCUGGCAUUGUUCAGCAGAAUAGACAAUGGAAAGAGGUUCGUCCUGGCAUUGUUCAGCAGAAUAGACAAUGGAAAGAGGUUCGUCCUGGCAUUGUUCAGCAGAAUAGACAAUGGAAAGAGGUUCGUCCUGGCAUUGUUCAGCAGAAUAGACAAUGGAAAGAGGUUCGUCCUGGCAUUGUUCAGCAGAAUAGACAAUGGAAAGAGGUUCGUCCUGGCAUUGUUCAGCAGAAUAGACAAUGGAAAGAGGUUCGUCCUGGCAUUGUUCAGCAGAAUAGACAAUGGAAAGAGGUUCGUCCUGGCAUUGUUCAGCAGAAUAGACAAUGGAAAGAGGUUCGUCCUGGCAUUGUUCAGCAGAAUAGACAAUGGAAAGAGGUUCGUCCUGGCAUUGUUCAGCAGAA